RNAcentral lists this ribosomal RNA (440 nucleotides) under uncultured bacterium. Its description in RNAcentral is "partial 16S ribosomal RNA". It matches the Rfam family "Bacterial small subunit ribosomal RNA", at positions 338 to 795 of the family's 1533-position model. The record is from RNAcentral.
CCUACGGGGGGCUGCAGUGGGGAAUAUUGCACAAUGGGGGAAACCCUGAUGCAGCGACGCCGCGUGAGUGAAGAAGUAAUUCGUUAUGUAAAGCUCUAUCAGCAGGGAAGAAAAUGACGGUACCUGAGUAAGAAGCCUCGGCUAACUACGUGCCAGCAGCCGCGGUAAUACGUAGGGGGCAAGCGUUAUCCGGAUUUACUGGGUGGAAAGGGAGCGUAGACGGCAGUGCAAGUCUGGAGUGAAAGGCGGGGGCUCAACCCCCGGACUGCUCUGGAAACUGUACGGCUGGAGUGCAGGAGAGGUAAGUGGAAUUCCUAGUGUAGCGGUGAAAUGCGUAGAUAUUAGGAGGAACACCAGUGGCGAAGGCGGCUUACUGGACUGUAACUGACGUUGAGGCUCGAAAGCGUGGGGAGCAAACAGGAUUAGAUACCCGUGUAGUC